This 253-nucleotide ribosomal RNA is filed under the name uncultured bacterium. Its description in RNAcentral is "partial 16S ribosomal RNA". It matches the Rfam family "Bacterial small subunit ribosomal RNA", at positions 524 to 776 of the family's 1533-position model. The record is from RNAcentral.
UACGGAGGAUCCAAGCGUUAUCCGGAUUCAUUGGGUUUAAAGGGUGCGUAGGCGGAACGAUAAGUCAGUGGUGAAAGCCUGCAGCUUAACUGCAGAACUGCCAUUGAUACUGUCGAUCUUGAGUAUAUUUGAUGUGGGCGGAAUGUGUCAUGUAGCGGUGAAAUGCUUAGAUAUGACACAGAACACCGAUUGCGAAGGCAGCUCACAAAACUAUAACUGACGCUGAGGCACGAAAGCGUGGGGAUCAAACAGG